RNAcentral lists this ribosomal RNA (442 nucleotides) under uncultured bacterium. Its description in RNAcentral is "partial 16S ribosomal RNA". It matches the Rfam family "Bacterial small subunit ribosomal RNA", at positions 30 to 507 of the family's 1533-position model. The record is from RNAcentral.
AGCGAACGCUGGCGGCAUGCUUAACACAUGCAAGUCGCGCGGACAGCUUCGGCUUCCGGCGGCGGCCGGGUGCGGAAAGGGUAGGAAAGCGUCCGAAUGUGCGGGACAACCCUGGGAAACAGCGGCAAAUACCGCAUAUUACCCCCGGGCCAAAGCCGCAGGGCGGUUGGGGGGAUAGGAGCGUCUGAUCAGGUAGGUGGCGGGGUGCCGGUCAACCAAGGGAUUGUUGGGUAGCCGGUCUGAGAGGCCUGACGGCCACACUGGGACUGAGAGACGGCCCAGACUGCUACGGGAGGCAGAGGUGGGGAGUAUGGCACAGUGGGGGGAAGCGUGAUGCAACGACGCCGCGUGCGGGAUGACGGCCUUGGGGGUGGAAACCGCAGUCACCUGUGACGAAGCGUGAGUGACGGUAAUGGGUGAAGAAGCACCGGCUAACUUCGUG